Molecule: non-coding RNA, 879 nt
Organism: Kogia breviceps (pygmy sperm whale)
Lineage: Eukaryota; Metazoa; Chordata; Mammalia; Artiodactyla; Physeteridae
Source: RefSeq, a predicted model, not a curated record
GGUGGGUGGUACAUGGUUGAACAUCUGAGAAUGCUGUUCUUUACUGUCCAACAAAUCAGCAGAAGAGGAGAUGGGCCUCAGGUGUCCUGCAGCCAACUGUAUCUCAAGAAACCACAAUAAAAUCUCUCGUCCAUGGUUUUCGCCUCUCCCUCAGCCUCCUGGAGACCCUAGUGCUUCCUCAUGUGACCCCCAUGGCACGUGGUGUGCCUCUUCCUUUUGGAAUCUACAGCCAGCUUUCCAGUGAAAUUCACAUCCUAGAUAAGACCCUUGCUGCACAGGCAAGAUAGCAGACAUCAAGGCUCACAGACGAUGAAACAAAAGAGGCAAGAAAGGGUCUCUUGUCUCUUUGGCAGCUCUGCGCCCGUCUCUGGAGCUCCUUUAAGCGGCGCGCUUAAACCCUCUCCUCACGCCCGAGGAAGUAAAGAGGGAAGAAAACGUCUCUUGCCUCUACAGCAGCUCCAGACUUCUCCCAGACUCCCUCCCGGCUAGCCGUGGUGCACUAGCCCCUUCAGGCUGUGUUCACGCCGCCAACCCCAGCUUCCUACUGAAGUCCGAGCCUCAGCUCCCAGCCCCAGCCCUUCCCGGCGGGUGAGCAGACAAGCCUCUCGGGCUGGUCAGCUGAUCUCAGAAAGUGUGACUCCCAGAUUCUGUCUGUCAUUACAACAGAAUUAAGUGGAUGAACCUGAGCCUCUAUUUCAAGUGGGAAAUCCAUGAGGGAAAGUCAGAACUAACUCAUUCUGUGAAGUGCCUCAUCCCUUCCUCUUCUCACUCGUCCCCCUGUCUCCACCCUGCACCCCAGUUUCCCCUUCUCUCUAGAAUUCCACCUCUGCCUGUUUUCCAUCUUGGAUUGCUGCAGAGGUCUCAAAACCCAAUGUCGAU